Long non-coding RNA from Clupea harengus (Atlantic herring), 338 nucleotides. The record is from Ensembl. Lineage: Eukaryota; Metazoa; Chordata; Actinopteri; Clupeiformes; Clupeidae.
UUCAUUGUUUUCCUUGUAGUCUUUGCUUCUUAUUUCUCUGUAUGGUGUGGAAGCGACGGUAUAGUUUGAGGUAUGGUGUGGAGGAGACGGUAUAGUUUGAGGUAUGGUGUGGGGGUGACGUAUAGUUUGAGGUAUGGUGUGGAGGAGACGGUAUAGUUUGAGGUAUGGUGUGGGGGUGACGUAUAGUUUGAGGUAUGGUGUGGAAGCGACGGUAUAGUUUGAGGUAUGGUGUGGGGGUGACGGUAUAGUUUGAGGUGGCCUACUCAGCAGAUAAAGGGACACACAAAAAAGAUUAAAAUGACAAGAAAGAAAGAGGUCUGAUAUUGUCCCUUUAGCCU